This 1769-nucleotide long non-coding RNA is filed under the name Trifolium pratense (red clover). RNAcentral's name for it is "long non-coding RNA (TPRA_LNC013367)". The record is from RNAcentral. Lineage: Eukaryota; Viridiplantae; Streptophyta; Magnoliopsida; Fabales; Fabaceae.
UAAACUUAAAACUCUUAAUAAUUUAUGAAUAAUUUUAGAAAUAGAAUAAAGCGUUGUUUGAAUGAAAAUAAUACAUCAAAGUUCCCAAAUAAGGUAUUUAUGAAAUAAAAGAAGUUGAAAAUAAAACUAGAUGAAUUUCCCUCAUGUUACUAGUAUCAGAAGAGACGUCUACAUGCCAACCUCAAGUACAAGGAUUUCACCGCGAAAUUUAAGGUUCAACCCUCUACCUGAAAAUCAACGAUUACACAUCGUAGUACCAAACCAACAAAUAAAACGUAACAGGGUAAGCACUAAUAUUCAAUAACUGAGAUGAAUGUAAGUAAAGUAACUAAAUAAAUAAAUACAUAAUGAUUGGUAAAAUGCUAAUAAAAAUGAAUCACAUAAAACAGUACAAAAAGCACGAAUAACAAAGUAACUAAAUUUCAAAAUCAAAUCAAAUCAAAAUCAAAAUUGUCAAAGCUCGGAAAUUCUCAAAUCCAAAGUUUCAAAAACCAAAAGGUUGCAAACACAGUAUAAUAAACAUAUAAAAAUAGAGAAGACCAGAAUUAUUAGUUAAGUUUGUAUUUACAUAUAUAUGAGUUUUGUUUUAUUAAAAUACAAUCUUUUCACUCAAACACCCUCAUCACCAAUUAAUCCUAACUCUCAAGUUGUUAAUUGCUCAAAUUAAUUCUACUAAACUAUUUUCUAAUAAGACUAUCACAAACACAUUUUCUAUCAAGUCUAUAGCAUGUACUGCAACUUCAUUUAAACUAUCACCACAUUCAAAAAGCACAUGAUAGGCCAUCUCUAUGACAGCAACUAGUUAUUAUGUACAUUAGAUGACCAACUCCCCUUCUCAAAAGUAACCCAUUUAGGACACCGCUCAAGGAUUAAACAGACAUUCACGCCACCAGUAAUGUAAUAAAUAACAAUACCUUUUUAUUAUUUUCUUUAUGUCUUAUAGUUAGUUUGUAUCUCUUAUAAGUCUAUGACCUACCUAAUUGUACCUGAAUAUAAGCUCUUACUCAUCAAUGACUUACUAGUUAAUCAAAUAAGUGUACUUUCUAAUAUAUCUUUUGUUAAUCAUGUAUUUCCCUCCUAUACUAAAUAGGGGACAAGCAAACCUCAGCUAUAUCAAUUAAAAAUGUGAGAUUAAAGCUUCAAUUUUAAGUUCCAAACAAUCCCAAAACAGUCCCAAAUAAUUUAUGGUUUUAAUCUAUGAAUUAGAAACUCUGAUUUUCUUUCCAAUUUUCAAUUGAAAAUAUACACGCUCAAAACAUGAAUGAAUGCAUAAACCAAUAUCUCAAAGCAAAGUUGCAGAAUGUAAAUGCACAAAUUAUAGCAGAUCAAGGCAAAACGAAAUUGCACUUCAAAGUACAAAAUCACCGAUCAGAAAGAAUCACAAACAAAAAUCAAAAGGAAGAAUUAAAGAAAGCAUAAAACCUAUUCUAAUUCACCCAAUUAUUAAACAUAAGUCUUCCCCUAACCUUAAGUUUUGAUGAAUUCUUUCUUUGAUCCUAGCUGCUGAAAUCAUUUCUUCUCCUUCUUUCCCUUCUCUUCUCCUCCCAGGUAUUUUUUUUCUCUCUAUUCUCACAGUGUAUAAUUUUUGUUUUUUUUGUUGAAUGUGUAGACACCUCUCUUGCCUUGCUUUUUUUAAAAAUAACUCCAAGAGACAAUGUUUAUUAUUACUAUUAAAAUCUAAUAAUGGAAAUUAAAACUAUCUUUAUUCCUUUCAAUGGAAAUUAAAACUAUGUUUAUUUCUUUCUAACUUCAAACUACUUAUUCUCUUC